RNAcentral lists this long non-coding RNA (288 nucleotides) under Danio rerio (zebrafish). Its description in RNAcentral is "lncRNA si:dkey-118j18.4 (ENSDARG00000096436.3)". Lineage: Eukaryota; Metazoa; Chordata; Actinopteri; Cypriniformes; Danionidae. The record is from RNAcentral.
ACAAUGCCCUCGGUAAAGACGUGAUGUUGACUGCUGUAUACAAACGUGUAAGAUUUACGAUUAAAACAGCCUUGUACAUCGCUCCUGAGGUUGGGUUUGACUAUUCUGAGGCUAUAUGACUUGCAUAAGGAGAUUGUGAUGUGGGUUCUUGCUUGAAGACUCAGGUUGGAGCAAAACUGUGCAGAGCUGCGGUCCUCCAAGAAUUGACUUUGACACCUAUGCCUUACUAGUAUCGGGUUGGACCCCAUUUGCCUUCAGAACUGCCAUAAUCCUUCGUGGCAUAGAUUC